UACGUAGGUGGCAAGCGUUGUCCGGAUUUACUGGGCGUAAAGAGUGUGUAGGCGGAUAAUUAAGUCAGGUGUGAAAUCCCGAGGCUCAACCUCGGAGGUGCAUUUGAUACUGGUUAUCUAGAGUGCAGGAGAGGAGAGUGGAAUUCCUAGUGUAGCGGUGAAAUGCGUAGAGAUUAGGAAGAACACCAGUGGCGAAGGCGACUCUCUGGACUGUAACUGACGCUGAGACACGAAAGCGUGGGGAGCGAACAGGAUUAGAUACCCGCGUA
This 269-nucleotide ribosomal RNA is filed under the name uncultured prokaryote. Its description in RNAcentral is "partial 16S ribosomal RNA". It matches the Rfam family "Bacterial small subunit ribosomal RNA", at positions 524 to 792 of the family's 1533-position model. The record is from RNAcentral.